This 124-nucleotide ribosomal RNA is filed under the name Lepisosteus oculatus (spotted gar). Lineage: Eukaryota; Metazoa; Chordata; Actinopteri; Semionotiformes; Lepisosteidae. The record is from RNAcentral.
UAAAGCAGCCUUAUCACCCUGCAACUCGCAGCUCGCAGCUGGCAGCCCACUGAAGCUCAGCAGGUGUGAGCCUGGUCUGUAUCUGGAUAGGAGACUCCUGGGAAAGCUAAGGUUGCUGCUGGAA